UACGUAGGGUGCAAGCGUUAAUCGGAAUUACUGGGCGUAAAGCGUGCGCAGGCGGUUAUGUAAGACAGAUGUGAAAUGCCCGGGCUCAACCUGGGAACUGCAUUUGUGACUGCAUGGCUAGAGUGUGUCAGAGGGGGGUAGAAUUCCACGUGUAGCAGUGAAAUGCGUAGAUAUGUGGAGGAAUACCGAUGGCGAAGGCAGCCCCCUGGGAUGACACUGACGCUCAUGCACGAAAGCGUGGGGAGCAAACAGG
RNAcentral lists this ribosomal RNA (253 nucleotides) under uncultured bacterium. RNAcentral's name for it is "partial 16S ribosomal RNA". It matches the Rfam family "Bacterial small subunit ribosomal RNA", at positions 524 to 776 of the family's 1533-position model. The record is from RNAcentral.